GCUAUAGUUCAGCAGUAGAGCAUCUACUUUGCAUGCAUAAAGUCCCAUGUUCAAUCCCUGGCAUCUCCA
Non-coding RNA from Podarcis lilfordi (Lilford's wall lizard), 69 nucleotides. The record is from the annotation of a GenBank genome assembly. Lineage: Eukaryota; Metazoa; Chordata; Lepidosauria; Squamata; Lacertidae.